AGCUUUGUGCAAGAGCAAUAAACUGUCUUAACACCAUGAUCAUUGCGCUUUGCUAAAGAACGUUUUACUUCAGGCGAGACGCAGCGAAAAAGGUGAAAACAUUGAUUUUUCUCAGUUGUCAUGAUGGAAAUGACAUCUUUGUCUAGUUUUCCCCAUUAACAUCUUAGUUUUAAUGUCUACCACAUAAACUCUCCCUUUAUUAAUGUUUUGACGACUUUGUGCUUCAUCUGAAAACACCAUUACGUCAUUACGCCGCCUCCCACAAAAAAACAUGACCCACCAAUAUCACAACAGGAGUUGCCUCAUAGGGCUGCACCGAACAUUAAGGCAAUAAAACAGAGCAGUAAAUAAGACGAUGUCAAGUUCAGGCGAAUCAAGUAUCCAGGCAAACAUAAUGUCCAAAUAAUCGUCAGCAGUAGGUGGCGACGAGCGGCGCGGGUGUCCCUGUCCUUAGACUCUCCCGCACAGCAAGGAAAAAACCCAGGGGGAGAAAAGCGAAACCUUGGGGAGAAUCACAGAAGGAGAGAUCCACUCCCAUGGACAGACAGACUGUAGAGACCCAGGGCCGAUGGAAGUCCCUCAACAGACAGGCCAAGAUUGCAGACCGUCCAGUCCUUGUUGUCAACCCAGUAAGCCGGGUUCCUCCGCUCGAUCUAGACACACUCCGGAGUGGGAGUGGGAGUGGGACAGGAGACACCAUGUGAAUAGUAAUGAACAAACUACAGAUAAAAUAAAUAUUGUAUCAUAAUGAGACAAAGUUUGCAGUAAGAAGAAGAAGAGGAUAACGCUCAGUGUACCGUACUUCCCACAGCAGUGUUUCUUCUAAGGCAGCUUUACUUCAGGCUGUGGGUUAGAGCUUUACUUCAGGCUGUGGGUUAGAGCUUUACUUCAGGCUGUGGGUUAGAGCUUUACAUCAGGCUGUGGGUUAGAGCUUUACUUCAGGCUGUGGGUUAGAGCUUUACUUCAGGCUGUGGGUUAGAGCUUUACUUCAGGCUGUGGGUUAGAGCUUUACUUCAGGCUGUGGGUUAGAGCUUUACUUCAGGCUGUGGGUUAGAGCUUUACUUCAGGCUGUGGGUUAGAGCUUUACUUCAGGCUGUGGGUUAGAGCUUUACUUCAGGCUGUGGGUUAGAGCUUUACUUCAGGCUGUGGGUUAGAGCUUUACUUCAGGCUGUGGGUUAGAGCUUUACCUAACUGACCUGAUCAUAAGCUCAUUCUCAGAGGUACGUUUUGAGCCUAGUCUUAAAUGUAGAGACUGUGUCUGCUUCUUCUUUAACGUGAGCUGGGAGUUUAUUCCAUAAAACCGGAGCUUGGAGCUAAAGGCUUUACCUCCUACAGUGAUUUUGGAGACUCGAGGAAUCACUAGUAGCCCUGAGUUUUGAGAGCGGAGUGCUCUGGUUGGCCGAUAUGGAACGAUAGCA
RNAcentral lists this long non-coding RNA (1418 nucleotides) under Neogobius melanostomus (round goby). RNAcentral describes it as "lncRNA (ENSNMLG00000020508.1)". Lineage: Eukaryota; Metazoa; Chordata; Actinopteri; Gobiiformes; Gobiidae. The record is from RNAcentral.